RNAcentral lists this ribosomal RNA (252 nucleotides) under uncultured bacterium. RNAcentral describes it as "partial 16S ribosomal RNA". It matches the Rfam family "Bacterial small subunit ribosomal RNA", at positions 524 to 775 of the family's 1533-position model. The record is from RNAcentral.
GACGUAGGUGGCAAGCGUUGUCCGGAAUUAUUGGGCGUAAAGCGCGCGCAGGCGGUCCUUUAAGUCUGAUGUGAAAGCCCACGGCUCAACCGUGGAGGGUCAUUGGAAACUGGGGGACUUGAGUACAGAAGAGAAGAGUGGAAUUCCACGUGUAGCGGUGAAAUGCGUAGAGAUGUGGAGGAACACCAGUGGCGAAGGCGACUCUUUGGUCUGUAACUGACGCUGAGGCGCGAAAGCGUGGGGAGCAAACAG